Heterocephalus glaber (naked mole-rat) is the source of this 634-nucleotide long non-coding RNA. Lineage: Eukaryota; Metazoa; Chordata; Mammalia; Rodentia; Bathyergidae. The record is from Ensembl.
UAUAUGUUCAAGUACCCAGAAGUGAGAUAAGAGCUGGGGUGUGGCUCAGUGUAGAUCACAUGCUUUGCAUACACAAGUAACUAGGUUCAACCCCCACCACCAAAAUCUAAAACAAAACACUUACAACAGAAUAAAAAAGAAAACCCCACAUAAAAACCCCAUGAAUAUAUAGGAAUAUAUAGCUGGGUUGUAUAGGGGAUGUUUCUAACUUUGUUAGACAGUGCUCCGUUUUGUAUUCCCGAGUAGCUGCACCAUUUCACACUCUUGUCAGAAUUUUAGGAACACCACAUUGAUGGUCACCACUCAACCACACCUACAUAGUAUGAUGAGCUCUCAAUCACCCCUCACUUGGUCCAAUGACCAUGUCAUAUGAUCCCAGUAGCUUCAUUGACAGUGAUGAUUUGCAGUCCCAUAUCAUUUGUGAGAAAUAUUGGCUCUGAGUGGCUGGAGGAAAUUUACUUAAGGUUUCCAUGGUCCUUUAGAGAAGCAAGAAAUGACCCAGAAUUUGUGUUUUGAGAUACUUUAUUGGCUACCUGGAAGUAGAAUCAGUCACUGACCUACAGAUCCAAAAUUCCUGAUGUGAAAAGAAAUAAGAAAAUGGCCCACAAAACUCUAAAAAUAAUAAACAUUUUCA